GGAACACGGAUGAGAUUAUAAUGACGCCGCAUUAGCCUAAUGUACACCGGAUCUUGACAUUUCAUUUUAAAGUUCACGUGGAAAAGAACGCUGGAAACUACUGAUGGAUCCUCAAGAUUUGAGAGCGACAGGAGAGGAAACGUGAGAACUGGAGACGUUCUGUCGGUUUGCUGAAGCCUUCAUGUGCAAUCAAGAAAAGCAAUCCUGUUCUCGUCUGGAUUUACCGUGUUAAACGAGGAGGUACGGCAGGAGUUAAUUGGCUGUUUCUAGCAGCCGCUGAGCUCUUAAAUGCAGUUUCUCUGUUAUUGGAUGAGAUUUCUUCUUCUUGCACUAAAGCAUCUUGGGA
Non-coding RNA from Pimephales promelas (fathead minnow), 346 nucleotides. The record is from RefSeq and is a predicted model, not a curated record. Lineage: Eukaryota; Metazoa; Chordata; Actinopteri; Cypriniformes; Leuciscidae.